AUCCCCUUAGUUAAAUGGAUAUAACAAGGUCCUCCUAAGACCUAGUUGCUGGUUCGAUUCCAGCAGGGGAUG
This 72-nucleotide transfer RNA is filed under the name Candidatus Enterococcus clewellii. RNAcentral's name for it is "Enterococcus sp. 9E7_DIV0242 tRNA". It matches the Rfam family "tRNA". Rfam says of the family: Transfer RNA (tRNA) molecules are approximately 80 nucleotides in length. The record is from Rfam by way of RNAcentral. Lineage: Bacteria; Bacillati; Bacillota; Bacilli; Lactobacillales; Enterococcaceae.